CUGUAUACAAUACCGACCAGAAUUAUAUCACCUUUUUUAAGUAUAACCAGGUUUUUUAAGUAUAACUUUUGUCAAGGUGCAUCGAAUACGCUAAAAAUUUUAUAAUAGACACCUAGUAGCAGGUGCAUGAAGUGUAAUGAGAUUUGACAAAAUACACCAUGAUUUUGUAAUUUUUUAUUAAUUUUCUGAAAAUUGCACAUUUUUGCUAUCUUUGUUUUUCGUGUCACGUUCCCAAGCUGUAAGCGAUGCCAAACGUUUCGCUACAAAGUACUAGAGUUAUACAAUAUGGAUUUGUUGUUUAUUUUUAAAGCAUUUGUAUGUACUUGUUAUGAUGCGAUAAAAAUUUAUUAUUUUAGAGAUUUCAAAUAAAAUGAAAAGUUGUUCCUCCAGUAAGGUAUAUUUGUAUCAAAACAUAUUAUGAUAUGGUAAAAAUCCAUGCCCUUUAAAAGUUAUGCUUAAAAAACCUAAAGGUGAUAUAAUUUUGGCCGGUACUAUAUAUAAUAUUUUUACCGUAGUAGACAAACAUGCAUAUAUGUAUAUAAAGAAGCAAUGCACGGAUUAUAUAAUGUUUGACUGCUGUCAAAGUUUAAUCGCAAUGAUAGUUACUUUCGCAAGACGAAGUAAACGUAGCGAGAGAACCAAUCAACAUCGCGGAAAACUGUCAACAAUAAAAUUAGUUAUAAGGCUUUUUUAAGAGAGGAUUAUUAAUUAUUAAUCGUAUUUCUUACAGAUGUCACUAAUAAAAGGAUUUAAUCAUUUUUUACUCAUACAAAGCGAUCAUGUGAUGAUAGAGAUCAUGCAUUAUCAAUAUGCAGUAUAUAUUAAUAUUUUAUCGGAGACUGUCACAGAUAAGUUUUAAAGUUAUCUAAUGUUGAAUUCAUAUACUGAACAAAGGCGACUUACAUAUGUAUAUGACAUAUCUGAAAUGAAAAAUUUACAAUUCGGACUUUGCGAUAUGUCUACUCAUAGGGCACACAGAGGAAAAAUAAAAACAAUUUUCUUAUAUAAAUUAUAUAAACUCAAGCUUUUGAUUGAAUCUAGUUAGAAUUCGAUCGGUUUAGCCGUUAUUGAAAUGCGAUAAUCGCAAGUCGCGUACUCGCGUGUAAUACUUGGGUAGCCGUAAAUCAAUUUUGCGCUGCGCGUUAACUUGGCGUGAGACACUAUCGCGUCUUUUGAUUAUACCUCCAUUCCGUCAUCAAGCACUAAAGAUGAGAAAAGUUGAAAUGUUUGUAACAUGUAUUUAAUUUAAUUACAUUAAACAAUAAACACAAUUGAAAAUUGUUAAAUUAUUGUUGCUUUUGUUCACUGAUAAUCACGUUGACUUUUCGCAUGGCCCAAUUUUUUGCACAUUUUAUAAUUUUAAGAAGUUAUUCAAAAUAUAGUUUUUUUUAAAUUAAAUGUAUCAGUUUUGUCAUUUGUUAUUGAAGGACGCAAUACUAAAUUUCUUAUUGAGGGUAGCGAUGGUAAAUAUGCAUAUGUGUAUACAUGUACAUAAAAAAAGUCAAAUUAUAUAACGUGAACUUUAUUGCACAAAUGUCGUUAAAAUUCUAUUUUAUUGUACUGAGAAAAACUUACAAAAAAAUUACCGUGCUUAAAACUAUAAAAUCGAAUGCAAUGUCUUUUUUAGUGUAAAUUUAUAAAAAAAUAAAAAAAUUUUUUGUUUAUUGUACGUAAAAAUGUCUGUCAUUAUUUCUAGAGUUCAAAUGUUUAUGAUCCGAGCAUGACCUCGUAAAAAAUCGCAUGUGCGAGUGAGUUGGGUACUAAAGUGAAAUAAAAACAUUUCUCAAAACGAUCAGACGUUCGUCGACUGCCAUUGUAAUCUAUUCGCAAAUGAGAUGAGAAAUAAGAUAAAUGAGUCAAAUGUUUCUGAAAAGCAUGUUUGUGCAUAAUCCAGCAGUCAGCCGUUAUGAAGUGGCGUUAAUACGAAAAUACACAAUAGUCAACGUUUUUUAUAAGAUGAAAGUAACGAUUUCGACGAUGCUAAUUCGGAUGUCGAUGAAGAUGAUUAUAUGUUCGAAGAAUCGUACGUAAGCGAUUCGGAGCAAUUUGAAGAUACCGAUGACGAAAUGGGCAGUGAUUUUGAAAAUGCAACGUUGGAUCAGCGCAUUCUAACAUUGCGUGUACGCGGUAGUACUUUUUAAUAAUAAAAAUAUAAUAAAUUUGAUUUUUUUAUAAAAA
This 2178-nucleotide unclassified non-coding RNA is filed under the name Monomorium pharaonis (pharaoh ant). RNAcentral describes it as "uncharacterized LOC118644332, transcript variant X1". Lineage: Eukaryota; Metazoa; Arthropoda; Insecta; Hymenoptera; Formicidae. The record is from RNAcentral.